GCAAAGGUAGCAUAAUAAUUUGCCCUUUAAUUGUGGGCUUGCAUGAACGGAUAAACUUUAUUUUACUGUCUCAUUAAUAAAAAUGAAAAUUUUCUUUCAGUUGAAGAGAACUGAAUUUCUCAGAAGGACCAAAAGACCCUAUAGAGCUCUGCAACCUACCCUUGUCUCUCAAGCUAAUUUGCUUCAUUGGGGCGAUGUUAGAGACUUCCUCUAGCUUUUACUCUUACUUAAUAAUUCAUUAUAAAGCCUACUACUAGAAUUCUAAAAAGCUACCUUAGGGAUAACAGGCCAAUUUUUUUUGAUAGUUCACAUUAACAAAAAAGUUUGGCAC
This 331-nucleotide ribosomal RNA is filed under the name Protodrilus sp. 3 KW122. RNAcentral's name for it is "partial 16S ribosomal RNA". It matches the Rfam family "Bacterial large subunit ribosomal RNA", at positions 1950 to 2524 of the family's 2925-position model. The record is from RNAcentral. Lineage: Eukaryota; Metazoa; Annelida; Polychaeta; Protodrilidae.